This 3013-nucleotide ribosomal RNA is filed under the name Salmonella enterica subsp. enterica serovar 1,4,[5],12:i:-. RNAcentral describes it as "23S ribosomal RNA". It matches the Rfam family "Bacterial large subunit ribosomal RNA". The record is from RNAcentral. Lineage: Bacteria; Pseudomonadati; Pseudomonadota; Gammaproteobacteria; Enterobacterales; Enterobacteriaceae.
GGGUUGUGAGGUUAAGCGACUAAGCGUACACGGUGGAUGCCCUGGCAGUCAGAGGCGAUGAAGGACGUGCUAAUCUGCGAUAAGCGCCGGUAAGGUGAUAUGAACCGUUAUAACCGGCGAUUUCCGAAUGGGGAAACCCAGUGUGAUUCGUCACACUAUCAUUAACUGAAUCCAUAGGUUAAUGAGGCGAACCGGGGGAACUGAAACAUCUAAGUACCCCGAGGAAAAGAAAUCAACCGAGAUUCCCCCAGUAGCGGCGAGCGAACGGGGAGGAGCCCAGAGCCUGAAUCAGCAUGUGUGUUAGUGGAAGCGUCUGGAAAGGCGCGCGAUACAGGGUGACAGCCCCGUACACAAAAGCGCAUGUGCUGUGAGCUCGAUGAGUAGGGCGGGACACGUGGUAUCCUGUCUGAAUAUGGGGGGACCAUCCUCCAAGGCUAAAUACUCCUGACUGACCGAUAGUGAACCAGUACCGUGAGGGAAAGGCGAAAAGAACCCCGGCGAGGGGAGUGAAAAAGAACCUGAAACCGUGUACGUACAAGCAGUGGGAGCACAGGUUUACCUGUGUGACUGCGUACCUUUUGUAUAAUGGGUCAGCGACUUAUAUUCUGUAGCAAGGUUAACCGAAUAGGGGAGCCGGAGGGAAACCGAGUCUUAAUUGGGCGUUAAGUUGCAGGGUAUAGACCCGAAACCCGGUGAUCUAGCCAUGGGCAGGUUGAAGGUUGGGUAACACUAACUGGAGGACCGAACCGACUAAUGUUGAAAAAUUAGCGGAUGACCUGUGGCUGGGGGUGAAAGGCCAAUCAAACCGGGAGAUAGCUGGUUCUCCCCGAAAGCUAUUUAGGUAGCGCCUCGUGAAUUCAUCUCCGGGGGUAGAGCACUGUUUCGGCUAGGGGGCCAUCCCGGCUUACCAACCCGAUGCAAACUGCGAAUACCGGAGAAUGUUAUCACGGGAGACACACGGCGGGUGCUAACGUCCGUCGUGAAGAGGGAAACAACCCAGACCGCCAGCUAAGGUCCCAAAGUCAUGGUUAAGUGGGAAACGAUGUGGGAAGGCCCAGACAGCCAGGAUGUUGGCUUAGAAGCAGCCAUCAUUUAAAGAAAGCGUAAUAGCUCACUGGUCGAGUCGGCCUGCGCGGAAGAUGUAACGGGGCUAAACCAUGCACCGAAGCUGCGGCAGCGAACGUAUCACCCAAGACAACUUUACGGAGUUGACGAUUGACGGAGCGAAGCGACGUCAAAGCGUUCAUUAAAGUCGAGUUGGCUUAGGGAUACGUUCGUUGGGUAGGGGAGCGUUCUGUAAGCCUGUGAAGGUGUGUCGUGAGGCAUGCUGGAGGUAUCAGAAGUGCGAAUGCUGACAUAAGUAACGAUAAAGCGGGUGAAAAGCCCGCUCGCCGGAAGACCAAGGGUUCCUGUCCAACGUUAAUCGGGGCAGGGUGAGUCGACCCCUAAGGCGAGGCCGAAAGGCGUAGUCGAUGGGAAACGGGUUAAUAUUCCCGUACUUGGUGUUACUGCGAAGGGGGGACGGAGAAGGCUAUGUUGGCCGGGCGACGGUUGUCCCGGUUUAAGCGUGUAGGUGUGUGUUCCAGGUAAAUCCGGUUCACUUUAACACUGAGGCGUGACGACGAGGCACUACGGUGCUGAAGCAACAAAUGCCCUGCUUCCAGGAAAAGCCUCUAAGCAUCAGGUAACACCAAAUCGUACCCCAAACCGACACAGGUGGUCAGGUAGAGAAUACCAAGGCGCUUGAGAGAACUCGGGUGAAGGAACUAGGCAAAAUGGUGCCGUAACUUCGGGAGAAGGCACGCUGACACGUAGGUGAAGUGAUUUACUCAUGGAGCUGAAGUCAGUCGAAGAUACCAGCUGGCUGCAACUGUUUAUUAAAAACACAGCACUGUGCAAACACGAAAGUGGACGUAUACGGUGUGACGCCUGCCCGGUGCCGGAAGGUUAAUUGAUGGGGUCAGCGCAAGCGAAGCUCCUGAUCGAAGCCCCGGUAAACGGCGGCCGUAACUAUAACGGUCCUAAGGUAGCGAAAUUCCUUGUCGGGUAAGUUCCGACCUGCACGAAUGGCGUAAUGAUGGCCAGGCUGUCUCCACCCGAGACUCAGUGAAAUUGAACUCGCUGUGAAGAUGCAGUGUACCCGCGGCAAGACGGAAAGACCCCGUGAACCUUUACUAUAGCUUGACACUGAACAUUGAGCCUUGAUGUGUAGGAUAGGUGGGAGGCUUUGAAGUGUGGACGCCAGUCUGCAUGGAGCCGACCUUGAAAUACCACCCUUUAAUGUUUGAUGUUCUAACGUGGACCCGUAAUCCGGGUUGCGGACAGUGUCUGGUGGGUAGUUUGACUGGGGCGGUCUCCUCCUAAAGAGUAACGGAGGAGCACGAAGGUUGGCUAAUCCUGGUCGGACAUCAGGAGGUUAGUGCAAUGGCAUAAGCCAGCUUGACUGCGAGCGUGACGGCGCGAGCAGGUGCGAAAGCAGGUCAUAGUGAUCCGGUGGUUCUGAAUGGAAGGGCCAUCGCUCAACGGAUAAAAGGUACUCCGGGGAUAACAGGCUGAUACCGCCCAAGAGUUCAUAUCGACGGCGGUGUUUGGCACCUCGAUGUCGGCUCAUCACAUCCUGGGGCUGAAGUAGGUCCCAAGGGUAUGGCUGUUCGCCAUUUAAAGUGGUACGCGAGCUGGGUUUAGAACGUCGUGAGACAGUUCGGUCCCUAUCUGCCGUGGGCGCUGGAGAACUGAGGGGGGCUGCUCCUAGUACGAGAGGACCGGAGUGGACGCAUCACUGGUGUUCGGGUUGUCAUGCCAAUGGCACUGCCCGGUAGCUAAAUGCGGAAGAGAUAAGUGCUGAAAGCAUCUAAGCACGAAACUUGCCCCGAGAUGAGUUCUCCCUGAGACUUAGAGUCUCCUGAAGGAACGUUGAAGACGACGACGUUGAUAGGCCGGGUGUGUAAGCGCAGCGAUGCGUUGAGCUAACCGGUACUAAUGAACCGUGAGGCUUAACCUUACAACGCCGAAG